Molecule: long non-coding RNA, 418 nt
Filed under: Brassica napus (rape)
Lineage: Eukaryota; Viridiplantae; Streptophyta; Magnoliopsida; Brassicales; Brassicaceae
Description: long non-coding RNA (BNAP_LNC005866)
Source: RNAcentral
UAUCGGUUUUCGUUUAAAGUUAUCGUUUUAAAACUUUCAGAAAUUUGUCACCUAAAACAUUAUUAAUCAGGAUAAAAUUUGAAGAUGAAAAUACACGGAUGGAUGGAAUACAUAAAUCGUCAAAAUACAAGGAACUUUUAGAGAUCAAACAUAAAAAUUACAUUAAUAUAUAAAUUAAACGAAAACUUAACACCGGUAGGACUAUCCAAUUUAGAACUGAUAAAAGUUAAAAGAUAUUUUGCAGCAUAAUUCGAGAGGACAAAAAAGUCGUAGGUUUGACAAAGCCACUUGUGCUUCCGAAGUAGAGUUAUUUCCGCGUACAAAGUCCAAAACCUGUCAUAAUUUGAUAUCAAAUUGCGUCAACUAAAAUCAUUUUUUAUAUAAAUACAAAGGAGAAAAAAAUCAUGAUAAAAUGUGU